GACACUUUGGCCGAGUGGUUAAGGCGAAAGACUAGAAAUCUUUUGCACGUUGUGCGCAUGGGUUCAAAUCCCAUAGGUGUCG
This is a non-coding RNA of Spironucleus salmonicida, 82 nucleotides long. Lineage: Eukaryota; Fornicata; Diplomonadida; Hexamitidae. The record is from Rfam.